Molecule: ribosomal RNA, 522 nt
Filed under: Polymyxa betae
Lineage: Eukaryota; Endomyxa; Phytomyxea; Plasmodiophorida; Plasmodiophoridae
Rfam family: Bacterial large subunit ribosomal RNA
Source: RNAcentral
GACCCUGUGCACCUUUACUAGAUUUUUAUAUUGUUACAAAAAUUAAACUGUGUAGAAUAGGUGGGAGCUUAGGAUUAAAAAAGAAGCGCUCUUGAAAUACCACCCUUUUUAAUAUUUUGAACUCAUUUAAUCCCUCUGGAUUAAAAACAGUGUAUAAUUGCUAGUUUGGCUGGGGCGGCCACCUCCUAAAAAGUAACGGAGGUGUACAAAGGUAAAUAUAAUUUAACUGCAUAGUUAAAUUUUAAGUGUAAUGGCAAAAUUUGCUUGAUUGUGAGACUUACAAGUCAAACAAGGACGAAAGUCGGUCAUAGUGAUCCGGUAAUACUGUGUGGUAAGAUUAUCGCUCAACGGAUAAAAGGUACGCCAGGGAUAACAGGCUUAUGACCCCCGAGAGUUCUUAUCGGCGGGGUCGUUUGGCACCUCGAUGUCGACUUUUCACAUCCUGACACGAAUGAGAACGAUCUGAUUAGAAAUGGAUGAAAUCGAGAUAAGAGGGGAAGCUGGAUUGCGCGACCCCCAACC